GACGAACGCUGGCGGCGUGCUUAACACAUGCAAGUCGAACGGAAAGGCCCUGCUUUUGUGGGGUGCUCGAGUGGCGAACGGGUGAGUAACACGUGCGUAACCUGCCCUUGACUUUGGGAUAACUUCAGGAAACUGGGGCUAAUACCGGAUAGGAGCUCCUGCUGCAUGGCGGGGGUUGGAAAGUUUCGGCGGUUGGGGAUGGACUCGCGGCUUAUCAGCUUGUUGGUGGGGUAGUGGCUUACCAAGGCUUUGACGGGUAGCCGGCCUGAGAGGGUGACCGGCCACAGUGGGACUGAGGUACGGCGCAGACUGCAACGGGAGGCAGCAGUGGGGAAUAGUGCACAAUGGGCGGAAGCCUGAUGCAGCAACGCCGCGUGCGGGAUGACGGCCUUCGGGUUGUAAACCGCUUUCGCCUGUGACGAAGCGUGAGUGACGGUAAUGGGUAGAGAAGCACCGGCUAACUACGUG
RNAcentral lists this ribosomal RNA (468 nucleotides) under uncultured bacterium. RNAcentral's name for it is "partial 16S ribosomal RNA". It matches the Rfam family "Bacterial small subunit ribosomal RNA", at positions 28 to 507 of the family's 1533-position model. The record is from RNAcentral.